GAUUUUUGGUUAAGUUAUUAAGGGCACACGGUGGAUGCCUUGGCACCAAAAGGCGAUGAAGGACGCGGCUACCUGCGAUAAGCGUCGGAUAGGUGGAAACAACCUGUAACCCGGCGAUCUCCGAAUGGGGCAACCCUCCGAGAGUCAUGUCUCGGAACUCCCUGCUGAAUUCAUAGGCAGGGUAGAGCAAACAAGGGGAAGUGAAAUAUCUCAGUACCCUUAGGAAGAAAAAGUAAAUCAACGAUUCCGUUAGUAGUGACGAGCGAAAGCGGAACAGCCUAAACCUUCUGAUACGUUAAAGGGUGAAACCGUUGUAUCGGGGGUGUUGUGGGGCGUUGUAGUCCGAUUUUCACAUAGGACGGAGAGUAAAAAAUCAUUGUGUUAGCUGAAGCGCCUGGAACGGCGCGCCAUAGAAGGCGAAAGCCCUGUAAGCGAAAAUGCAAUGACUCUCUCGCAGCGUUCCCAAGUACCACGGAAUAAGUGGAAGUCUGUGGGAAUCCGCAAGAACCAUCUUGCAAGGCUAAAUACUCUUUGGUGACCGAUAGUGAACAAGUACCGUGAGGGAAAGGUGAAAAGCACCCUUAAGAAGGGGGUGAAAUAGUACCUGAAACCGUGUGCUUACAAACGGUCGGAGCAGAUCCCGUUUCUUCGGAAACGGGACGAGUGACGGCGUGCCUUUUGCUUAAUGAGCCUACGAGUUAGUCGUAUGUUGCAAGGCUAAUGGACUAAGUCCAGCAGCCGUAGCGAAAGCGAGUCUGAAUAGGGCAACUUAGUAACAUGCGCUAGACGCGAAACCCGGUGAUCUAUCCUUGACCAGGAUGAAGUGGGGGUAAAACCUCAUGGAGGUCCGAACCAGUGUGGGUUGAAAACUACUUGGAUGAGUUGAGGAUAGGAGUGAAAAGCUAAUCGAACUGGGUGAUAGCUCGUACUCCCCGAAAUAACUUUAGGGUUAGCCUCGGGUAAAGUCUGUCGGAGGUAGAGCACUGAUUGGGCUAGGGUCGUCACAACGAUACCAACCCCAGACAAACUCCGAAUUCCGACAUGAUGUUUCCCGGGAGUUAGGCAACGAGGGAUAAGCUUCGAUGCCAAGAGGAGAACAAUCCAGACCAACAGCUAAGGUCCCCAAGUCGAAGUUAACAGAGAAAGGAUGUUGAGUUGCAGUGACAACUAGGAGGUUGGCUUAGAAGCAGCCAUUCCUUGAAAGAGUGCGUAAUAGCUCACUAGUCAAGCGACUCAGCGCCGAUAAUUCUCGGGACUCAAACUUCGCACCGAAGCUUUGGGUUGUCCCGUUUUACGGGACAGCGGUAGGGGAGCAUUCCAUUCAGCGACAGUGGUAACACAGUCCGCCGCAAGGCGGGGAAGGUGCGCAGCGAUGCGUGCUGGAGCGAAUGGAAACGCAGAUGUAGGCAUGAGUAACGAUAAUGUAACUGAGAAUGUUACACACCGAAAAUCUAAGGUUUCCUGAGCAACGUUCGUCGUCUCAGGGUUAGUCGGAUCCUAAGCUGAGGCCGAAAGGCGUAGGUGAUGGAAAACAGGUUCAAUAUUCCUGUACCUGUUUGCAAUCGUUUGACCGUAAGGGGUGACGCAGAAGUGAUCGUCGAGCCAGCUGUUGGCUUAGCUGGUUUAAGCUUGUAGGCGUGGAGUGUAGGCAAAUCCGCAUUCCAGUUAUCGCCGAGAAGUGAACAGGGUGCCCGCAAGGGCCACAACUCGACAUAAGCAUGCUGCCAAGAAAAACCUCGUACGUAGAUUGCAGGCAGUCCGUACCGCAAACCGACACAGGUAGAUGAGAAGAGUAUUCUAAGGUGCUCGAGUGAGCCAUGGUCAAGGAACUCGGCAAAUUAGCCCCGUAACUUCGGGAUAAGGGGUGCCUACGGUACGUGAGGGUGUACAACCCAAGCGGAUGUAGGCCGCAGUGAAAUGGGCCAAGCAACUGUUUAACAAAAACACAUCACUCUGCUAACACGUCAAGUGGACGUAUAGGGUGUGACACCUGCCCGGUGCCGGAAGGUUAAGGAAGGGGGUCAGCGCAAGCAAAGCUCUCGACCGAAGCCCCGGUAAACGGCGGCCGUAACUAUAAACUUAAACUGCAUGGACCCCUCGCAUGAAUAAUGCGGGACGCAGUGUUGUAGUUGUAAAAUUUGGCUAUAUGCUGGAAACUCCGUAGUAUCUUGUGCUACUCAUUCCGUCUCAAGCGGAGUAGUGACAAUGCACAAGUGGCGUUGAAUGAACAAUUCAAACAGCGGACAAUCAGCAGGAAAGGCUUCAAAUGCUUAAUGUUAACAACGUUCCCUCACCUAUCGGAUAUUACCUUGCUGGUUUUACCGAUGGUGAAGGAAGCUUCAAUAUUUCUUUCCGACCUCGACCUGACUAUCGCAUUCCAUGGAAAGUUUCGGCAUGUUUCAACAUCUCGCAAAAGGAUAAGGUCAUUCUGGCCUUAUUCAAGAAACAUUUGCAAUGUGGAACAUUACGUUCGAGACCUGAUGGAGUGUGGUAUUAUGAAGUAAACAAUCUCACCGCAAUUUCAGAACAUGUGAUACCGUUUUAUGAACGGUUCGGAUUUCUUUCUUCUAAAAAGAAAAAAGAUUUUCAAGCCUUCAAAAAGGUUGUAUCGCUGAUCAACAGCGAUGCGCAUUUAACAGAAGACGGCAUCAAAACAAUUUUGAAGCUGCGCAACGAGAUGAAUGAUGGUGGAAAGAGAAAGUAUCAAGACGUUGAUAUCAUAAAUGCAAUUGGAGAAUCCUCAGAGACUAUACGCCAAAUCCCGUUACGCUAAAGCGUGAUGGGAAUGAUAUAGUCCGUCCUCUACAGCGAUGUAGAGAUCUUGUUCCUCCGUUUCAGGAACAGGACAUUCUGAACAAUCAGGAUGUAACAACGAGAACGGUCCUAAGGUAGCGAAAUUCCUUGUCGGGUAAGUUCCGACCUGCACGAAUGGUGUAAUGAUUUGGUCACUGUCUCGACCAUGGGCUCGGUGAAAUUGUGGUACCGGUGAAGACGCCGGUUACCCGCAUAUGGACGGAAAGACCCCGUGAAGCUUUACUAUACCUUGGCAGUGGAUCCGGACAAAGCAUGUGUAGCAUAGGUGGGACGCUUUGAAGCGAGGACGCUAGUCUUCGUGGAGCGGCCAGUGAAAUACCACCCUUGUUCUGUUUGGCUUCUAACCUCGUACCGUGAAUCCGGUGCAGGGACACUGCCAGGCGGGUAGUUUGACUGGGGCGGUCGCCUCCUAAAUUGUAACGGAGGCUCCCAAAGGUACCCUCAGCAUGGUUGGUAAUCAUGCGUCGAGUGUAAAGGCAUAAGGGUGCUUAUCUGUGAGACAAACAAGUCGAACAGGUGCGAAAGCAGGGCUUAGUGAUCCGAUGGUAGCACGUGGAAGUGCCAUCGCUCAAAGGAUAAAAGCUACUCCGGGGAUAACAGGCUGAUCUCGCCCAAGAGUUCAUAUCGACGGCGAGGUUUGGCACCUCGAUGUCGGCUCAUCGCAUCCUGGGGCUGGAGAAGGUCCCAAGGGUUUGGCUGUUCGCCAAUUAAAGCGGUACGUGAGCUGGGUUCAGAACGUCGUGAGACAGUUCGGUCCCUAUCCUAUGUGGGCGAAGGAUAUUUGAGGGAAGUUGCUCCUAGUACGAGAGGACCAGAGUAAACGGACCUACGGUGUACCUGUUGUCACGCCAGUGGCAAACGCAGGGUAGCCAUGUCCGGUCGGGAUAAGCGCUGAAAGCAUCUAAGUGCGAAACCCAUCCCAAGAUUAGAUAUCCCAGCUAUUUAUAGCUCUUAAGACCCGUAGAAGAUGACUACGUUGAUAGGCCACAGAUAUAAAGGCAGUAAUGUCUGAGUCGAGUGGUACUAAUAGGUCGUGAGGCUUAACCAAUAAUUAUUAUUG
Molecule: ribosomal RNA, 3874 nt
Rfam family: Bacterial large subunit ribosomal RNA